AGGGCAGAGAGGUCAGGAGGAACGACACAGGAGAGGAGCGAGAAUAUUCAGAGAAAAGGCAAGGCAAACUAAGUUUGCGGGAAUUAUUUGUCUUCAUAAGGAGUGACAGGGGGAAUUGGAAUGCUAUUAUAGCAACUCACAGCCUCCCACUUCCACGGCUGCUUUCAUGCAUUAGUGAAUCGCUUUGGGAUAGAAGCGGCAGACAGCGAAGUAGUUCACUAGCAGGAAGCAUGGACCAUCAACGGCUGGCAAUCUGGUAGGAAAGGGAAUUCCCUCUUUUGCAUGUGCUGAAGUCAGCAAGAGCGUGUUCACUGAUUGGUUAGUCCCUUUCUGGGAUGUGCUGAUGGUGGGGCCCAAUAUCUAUAUAGCAGAUAUGCACAUCCAGGGUGCUGACUGAGGAACCUUGAACCUCUCUGACAGAGAUGGGGGCCUGUGGCCCUCCAGAUGCUGUUGGACCCCCAAACUCCCAUUAUCCCUGACUAAUGCUGGCUUGGGCUGAUAGGAGUGGGAUGUCAACAGCAUCUGGAAAACCACAGGGUCCCCAACAUUGUUCUUCUGCCACCUCCCCACAGCUAUAGGUAACAUUGGUAGCAGUGCUGGAAUUACACUUAUUUUUGUGAUGCUAAUGCUUUUCAAAGGCUGUGUGGGUCAUUAUUUAAUUAAGAUUAGGGGGAAUUGGGUGUUGUGCUAUUGAGCUGUUGGGCUUUAGUAAGGCCUCUCUACUACUUAUCCAUAAAUUGAGCAUUUGGCAGGAAUAUCUCUCCCAUUUCUAUCACCCCACAGCAAAAGAAGAAGAAGAAGAGUUUGGAUUUGAUACCCUGCUUCAUCACUACCCGAAGGAGUCUCAAAGCGGCUAACAUUCUCCUUUCCCUUCCUCUCCCACAGCAAACACUCUGUGAGGUGAGUGGGGCUGAGAGACUUCAGAGAAGUAUGACUGGCCCAAGGUCACCCAGCAGCUGCAUGUGGAGGAGCGGAGACGCGAACCCAGUUCACCAGAUUACGAGUCUACCGCUCUUAACCACUACACCACACUGACCAAAAGUCAGUGGUUCUUACUACUAGUGAACUGCUUCAUCCGUUAACACUGCUUUAAGAUAUUUAGAAAAUGCCAGCAAAAAUACUGGGAGUCUGAGAUGGUGGAAGUUGGAGUCUGUCAACAUCUUGCAGGCCGGUGGGGCACAGGUUCCCCAUCCUUGAUGUAAAUAAUUUGUGUUGACUUAUCAGAGGAAAACAGAUCCUGCAACAGCUUCCAUAAAUUCAAAAAGCUCAUUGCGCUAGCCACAAUAUUAACAAUAACACAUGAAUGCAAAGAUAUUGCUUGUGAGAAAAAGCCUAGAAACAUUUGGUAGAAUGAAUAAAUGGAAGAGACAAGUUUUACCAAUUAUACUGAUUGGUUGCUAAAUCAAGCUGAAAGAGAGAUUCUGAAUCAAGGUACAGGUAGGUGGGGAAACGAGUUGUGGAUGGUGCCCAUUGUAGAGCAGAAGGCAGGGAAACCAACAGGAGCCACCCUGAGUUGCCAUAUUGAGCUAUUUUUUAAGAAGACCCCAAAGUUGUUGAGCUCCUUUUUCUUUCUUUUUUACGAAAACACCACAAAUAUGUGAUUUUUCAAUUGGCUUGCCUAAGAUUCAGGAUAAAGCGCCGCCUUUGGGAAGUCCUGCCCAGACGCCAAUUCUGCCUUUGAACUCCCGGUAAUGUCUUGGAAAAUCCGGACAUAUGGCAGCCCUAGGAUAGGCAGAGUUAACCAGUUCUUGUUGGGGCUCCAUCUUCCUCCCUGCUGAGUUGUGUAAUUAAUUCUACUUUUGUCUCUAUCCUCUUCUCUACACAGUUCUACAAGGACAACACUGAGAUUGAGAAGGAGGAAACCCCUACAGACCAGCCUCCACUGAAAAAAAUACACAGAAAAAUGGCAAGUGCUUUAGACUGAAUACAAAGGAUAUAGCAAAACUGCAUUAGAAUCCUAAUGGAGAGAUGGAAGACAACUGAGCCAAAGGGGGUUGGAUAUCCAUGAAGACUUAUGAAUGACACCAUAAAGUUUAAAGAAAUGCCAGAUGGGUGGAAUGGAGUAAUGCACUCCUACAGAAACAGUAAGCAUAUAAAAAUGUAGAAUAGUAAGGAAUGAAAUUGAUAUGGCCACAAGACAAAUUUAUGGGGUAACAGAGCAUCCAUAUGCAAUUUACAUCUGCACUGGGAACAGCUGCUGAACACUAUUUCUGCACUGAUCAUACAUUUGGAAAAACAGAAAAGUACGCCACUUCAUAUUCUACUUGCUACAAAGGUCUCCUUAAGAAAUACAAUGUAGAUUCAGAAAUAUAAUAUGAACUCAGACAGAAAGAUAUGAGCCUGACUCGAAAUGCGUUUAUCCCUACAAAGUCACCAAUAUCCAAUGAGGAGUGUUACAGGUGAACUAAAACAAACCCACUGUUAGUAGUGAGAAGGAGGGAGAAAUUUGAUUAAGUUGGCAGUUAAAGGCAAAGUUACCAAAUUUCCAUUUUCUGAAAUAAUAUUGUUACACGCCACCCCAAUCCCUGAGUGGUGUGAGAAUCCAGGGGUACCAGGCCUGCUUACCAGGGUCUGUGAUUGCUUUUGGACAAGGAGACACAGCAGAGACUGUUGCGUAUUUAUGGUAUGUGGUUUAUUUACACAUAUAUGAAACCUAGAGAGAGUGCAUUGCAUUCACAUCCCAAGAGGAUCCUGUUCCUUCCAUUUCUGCGGCCUUGGAUUCCAAGAGACCCCAAACAUUGUGUCCGACCCUCUCUGAAGCAUGACCACCUUCUCACUGGCCCCCCUCUUAAGCUUGCAAAGCUCAUCCUGCCCCCCCCCCCCGAUGCUUACAUAAUCCAAACUGACAUCCUACACACUCUGCCCGCUAACACACAGCUGGGAGAGGGGCCUCACUCAGGGGCGUAGGAAGGGGGGCGGAGCACCCCAGGGGUCCUCACUGAGGGGGGUGACAUUUCAGCAUGCCGCCCGCAACUCCCAAGCCUACCCCGAGCUGUCGGGGUAAGGGGGUGAGCUGCAACGCUUUGCUGGUGGCGUUUCCCCCUUCCCCCUUUGUUUUGACAGCUUGAGGAAGGCUUGGGAGUCAUGGGCAGGUGGCGCACUGAAUGUCCACCAUGGGCGUCUUGCUCCGCCCCCGACUGCAAGGUUUGCACACUGCUCUGGGCACCCGAGCGGCUUUCCUGCACCUGGGAGGGCUCCCUCUGCACCACACACCCCUCGGGAGCAUGCCCGUCCUGGGCAGCACGGACAUAUGCUCUGCUGCUGGCCUCAACCUCCUUGUCUGGCAGACAAGGAGGUUGAGGCCAAAACCCUCCUAAUGGUUUUCUUGAUGUGUUAAUGCCUUGGCCAUUAUUGGCUUUGUUCUUCCAAUGACCCACAUUCAGCUAGCUAUGGCAGUGGCCUGGCUCCUUAGCAUAAGCUGAAUCUAGCCGUGUUUGGCCCAGUUUCAUCAAACCUUCAUUAUCCUUUGGAAUUUGAUGAAUUUCGCAAUGACGUUCUUCACCCAAGUCAUGUGUACAGAAAUGCAUGUACUAUGGUAAAAGUGUGCAUACUGAAAAUCCUGCAUAUAUUAGUCAGCUGCACUCUCCAGUUCCCAAUACAGCAGGUUUAGUGUGUUUCCCAUGGGGGCUUUCAAAGAGGACACCCCUCCAGCCACAGUUGUUUCUCUGGCCUGCACACUCUUCUUCCUCCUCCAGCUGUGCUACCUUUCCUCAUCUCUAGGUGGAGAUGGGAAACAUUGGGGGCAAAUCCUGGUAGAGAUAAGGAUUAUUCCCACAGUGUGAAAUAGCUGUGAAUGCUGAUUAAUUGCGUCUUCCUUUGAUCUCCUCUUCAUUAGUCAGCUUCCUCCACUUUCGAGCAUAAUUAAUACAUUCCUGAUCAAAGACCUAUCAGAAGGCAAGCGCAAGCAACUCUUGUUUCAUUGUGUGUUCCUAUUAAAAGAAGAACUGUAGCAGCAAUCAACCUGGAGAAGUAGCAAGAGCUUCCACUUUGACGGUGGAACCAGUCAAACCGGCCCCAAAAAGUCAAUUACAAAGAGGAGGGCUGUUUGAUCAUUAAUUUUAGAAUCAAGAACACAGCAUGGGAUGCCCCACUUAUUUCACUCUCAUUCCCUCUCCCCAGAUAUCAGUAAACACAUGGAAGGGAUGGCAGAGAAGUUCUGGUCCAAGCUUGAGGUCUUUGGAAUGCCUGUAUAUCAAGCGAGUGGUUCUGCUGGUUUCAGGAUAAGGAUGACAUGGCGCACCUUUUGCCUCUGGCUGCAUGUAGAUCAUGCAUUUAGAGCACAUUCAGAGCACAUUUGGUGCACAUGGUUUCCCCCAAAGACUCCCAAGAAGUGUAGUUUGUUAAGGGUGCUGGGAACUGUAGCUCUGUGAAGGGUAAAUGGCAGUUCCCAGGAUUCUUGGGGACAGGCGGACCAUGUGUUUUAAAAAUAUGGUGCAUAAACAGCCAGAGGUUAUUCUGAGCCCUUGGUAAGUGGCGUGACACUUAUCACACCUUCCCAUCCCAUCCCAAACCCAGACCUUUUAGAGGGCUGGAGGAAUAACUGGCAGCAGGUAGGGCCAGGGUGGGGAUGUUGAACUCAAACUCCCACCAUCCCCUGCUGCAUUCCUCCUGCUGCUUUUUGUUCUGGUUUUAUGCUGAUGCUCUUUUGAUGGUUUAAGUUUGUGGUGAGCAACCUCUGGCUCCAGUGCUUCGUGAAACCCAUGCCCAAAUUCAAAAGCCAUGGAAGGUGUUCCAUUAGGGCAAAUGGGGCACUACCCUGCAACCUGAGCCAGGCCUGAUCUGUCCACCUCCUUGCUUACAAGCAGCCCAGAAGGUGGCAUUCCUUCUUAACUUCAGUAUUGUACAGUGUCUAAUGGCUGUGGCUCAGAAAGAGAGUGCCUGUUUUGCCUGCAGAAGGUUCCAGGUUCAGUCCCCAGAAUCUCUGAAUAGGGCUGCGAGAGACAGUGGCGUAGCGUGGGGGGUGCAGGGGGGGCCGGCCGCACCGGGCGCAACAUCUGGGGGUUAGGGUUAGGGGGCGCAAAUCCACGGGUUAGGGGGCGCAAAUUACUUGCCUUGCCCCAGGUGCUGACAACCCACGCUACGCCACUGGUGAGAGAGAUCCCUGUCUCAAAUCCUGGAGAUCCACUGCUAGUCAAUGUAGACCAGGGGUAGUCAACCUUUUCAUACCUACCACCCACUAAUGCAUCUUUCUUGGUGGUAAAAUUUCCUUACUGCCCACCGGUGCUCGAUGGAAGGAGGAUUCAGCUUGUGCAGUAGAACCCCCUAUCUUCCUGGCAGCAGACGACAGAACCAUGAAACAGGUGUAAAAUACUCAAGCAAGAGUUCUAUUUACAACCUUACAAACAGAAAGCAUGUGGGUGUUCUCUUUUGCAGGCAAAUUCAAACUGCAACUUCUCCUCCUUUUGUACUCAUCACCAGCUGUACCUAAUCAACCCAGAAACCCACACCCAGAACUCACAGAAACAGUUAAAGCCCUAAACGGCCUCGGUCCAGUAUAUCUGAAGGAGCGUCUCCUCCCCCAUCAUUCUGCCCGGACACUGAGGUCCAGCAUCGAGGGCCUUCUGGUGGUUCCCUCGCUGCGAGAAGCCAUGUUACAGGGAACCAGGCAGAGGGCCUUCUCGGUAGUGGCGCUUGCCCUGUGGAACACCCUCCCAGCAGAUGUCAAGGCAAUAAACAACUAUUUCACUUUUAAAAGACAACUGAAGGCAGCCCUGUUUAGUGAAGUUUUUAAUGUCUGACGCUGUAUUGUUUUUAAUAUUUGGUUGGAAGCUGCCCAGAGUGACUGGGGAAACCCAGCCAGAUGGGCGGGGUAUAAAUAAUAAAUUAUUAUUACUGUAUUUUUCGCUCCAUAAGGAGCACGGACCAUAAGGCGCACCUAGUUUUUAGAGGGGAAAUCAAGAAAAGAAGAGCUCUCCCGGCUGGAGAGGUUGCUUGGCUAAAGAAGCCAUAGCCGUGCGCAGGCUCUCCUGGCCGGAGGGGCUGCGUGCAGCUAUGGGAGAAGCCAAGACAGCGAGCAGGAUGGAUCCCGCCCGCUUCCUCUUUAGUCGCGCACAACCUCUCCAGCCGGGAGAGGCUGCACACGGCUAAAGAAGCCAUAGCCACGUGCAGCCUCUCCCGGCCAGAGGGGCUGCGCGCAGCUAUGGCAAUACCCCCACCUCCCACAAAAGCCCACAGGAGCCGCGCACCCUUUAAGAAGCACAUGGCUCCUGCGGUCUUUUCUAUGAGGAGGGAGAAGGGACUGACUGGCCACAUCAGUCCCUUCUCCCUCCUGGGGAAAAGCCCGCAAGAGCCACGCGGAGCUUGUGUGCGGCUCUUGGGGGCUUUUCCUGCCUGCCCCCCCUGCAUUCGCUCCAUAAGACGCACACACAUUUCUCCUUACUUUUUAGGAGGGGAAAAGUGCGUCUAACGGAGUGAAAAAUACGGUGUAUUAUUAUAGUUCUUAAAGUUACAAUAAUUUUUUCUCUUUCUUUGCAGAAUGACUCCUAACACUACCACUGACCUAGAACCCUGAGAUACUCACUAGUGGGCGGUAGGGACCAGUUUGACAACUCCUGGUGUAAACAAUGCUGCGCUAGAUGGACAAGUGGGUAAAGGGCUUCUAUUGCUAACACUUUGUCCUUUAUUACUUGAAGAAUUCAGCAGGGAGGAGGAAGGGCAUACAACAAAUAUUAGUUGUCUCUGCCUGUCAUUGGACUCUGGCUCCACCUACUGUUGGCCUCCUGCCUUACACUGUACCAGUCCCAAUGGACACCAGCUGCCAGUGUUUAAAAACCUUCUGCAAGUGAUAUGUUCUGGAUCAUUGAUUUGAUGGGCAAGGAAGAGAUGGGCGGGAGAGAAAAUGGUGUAGCAAUGAGAGAGCAGUCAGGCUUUUUUCUUCUGACGGACUCCUUCCCCAUCUGCCUCCUUGGUUAGGUGACCGUAGGUGGUCUGAGAUGAUAAAUAGGUGCUAAAUAAAGAUGAUAAAUAGGAGAUAAAUAAGAUGCUAAAUAUAUCGAAGGCUGCUACCUCAAAAUGAUAAUUGCCAUUGUCUCCUCUGAGAGAAAAAUGGAUUUGCAGAAUGUUGGAUGUUUUCAAAUAUGCCCAAUUAACCAGUUUAAUUGACUCUGAAAUGGUGCACAGAAAAUUAAUAAUUUUCAGAUAAUCUAUUUUGUUCAGUAUCAAAAUAAUUUUCUGGCAUGUCAGUGAGGACUGGCCCCCUUCAUCACUUAAAUUACUUAAAUAAUUGAUAUGAUGGGCAUGAUUCAGUCAAAGUUAAGCCUCUUAUCAGUUAAGUCCAACUGAUUUCAGUGAGGAAGAUGUACAGUAGGUAGAUAUUUAAUUCUCGCACUGAAGCCUGAGUUUAAGAAGCAUGGCCACCACAGAUUAAAAAUCAGAGAGUCAUAAACAGUUGUAAUAGAGCACAGCUCACAAGGUAACCUUCCAAUCCAUUGUUUAAUGAAACAAAUUCAUGGGGAGUACAGAGAAAUCUGAAGUGUGGCUAUAUUCUGCUUCACAACACAUCGUUGGAACGUGGUUUCAAUUAAAGACUUAGCAGCAUUGAGAUAAGAUGAAAUGGAGUACAUUUUGAUUCAUGGUGAUAAUUUGUUGUUUGCGCCAACCUAAGGGAAACUAGUUUUAAAGGUAGC
RNAcentral lists this long non-coding RNA (7625 nucleotides) under Podarcis lilfordi (Lilford's wall lizard). The record is from RNAcentral. Lineage: Eukaryota; Metazoa; Chordata; Lepidosauria; Squamata; Lacertidae.